RNAcentral lists this small RNA (739 nucleotides) under Pongo abelii (Sumatran orangutan). RNAcentral's name for it is "retained intron". Lineage: Eukaryota; Metazoa; Chordata; Mammalia; Primates; Hominidae. The record is from RNAcentral.
CUUUCAGAUUUGACUUUACACAUAAAAGACAAUCAGGUGGUGCAGGCCAGUAUGGAAAAGUAAUAGGUGUCCUGGAGCCUCUGGACCCAGAGGACUACACUAAAUUGGAGUUUUCAGAUGAAACAUUCGGAUCAAAUAUUCCAAAGCAGUUUGUGCCUGCUGUAGAAAAGGGGUUUUUAGAUGCCUGCGAGAAGGGCCCUCUUUCUGGUCACAAGCUCUCUGGGCUCCGGUUUGUCCUGCAAGAUGGAGCGCACCACAUGGUUGAUUCUAAUGAAAUCUCUUUCAUCCGAGCAGGAGAAGGUGCUCUUAAACAAGCCUUGGCAAAUGCAACAUUAUGUAUUCUUGAACCUAUUAUGGCUGUGGAAGUUGUAGCUCCAAAUGAAUUUCAGGGACAAGUAAUUGCAGGAAUUAACCGACGCCAUGGGGUAAUCACUGGGCAAGAUGGAGUUGAGGACUAUUUUACACUGUAUGCAGAUGUAAGUACUCUUGGUCAUUGACAGUCCUGCUUUUAUUAACCAUAGAAGGAAAUCCAGAUUAGCUUUUGUUUUUGCAAAUGGACACAUUUCCUUGCUGAAUUUGUGGCUUUAUACAUGUGGCAUUUUCUGUAAUUUGCUAUUAGAGCAACUCUUAAGUGCAGAAGUUAAAAAUAAGGUUUAUUUUAUCUUGACCUUUUGUGCGUGUGUCAUUUUCGUAGAUGUAUAUUAUCUCUCUUUCUUGGAUAAGCACAGAUGGACAAAUU